This 262-nucleotide long non-coding RNA is filed under the name Olea europaea subsp. europaea. Lineage: Eukaryota; Viridiplantae; Streptophyta; Magnoliopsida; Lamiales; Oleaceae. The record is from RNAcentral.
CAACAAAGGAGAAUAUUAGUACAAUGUAUUACAAAUAUGGCUAAAUAAUGGAGAAAAUACAAAAAUAUAGAUAAAACCCUUUUUUGUAGAUUGGCUAUGAUUUUUCCCAAAUGUUUUGCCAAAUCCUUGAUGUAAUCUCCUUGUUGCUCUAUAUUGUAUCUCCAAAAUAACCAAGAAAAAAAAAAGGAAAAGAUUAGAAGAUGAAAGCAAAAAAAUAAUAAUAAUAAAGAAAGACCCAGCAAAAAAGGGAACCCAGCAGAAG